GCCGAAGUGGCGGAAUGGCAGACGCGACGGUCUCAAAAACCGUUGGCCGGCAACGGUCAUGUGGGUUCGACUCCCACCUUCGGCACCA
This 88-nucleotide transfer RNA is filed under the name Chloroflexota bacterium. RNAcentral's name for it is "tRNA-Leu". It matches the Rfam family "tRNA". From Rfam's summary of the family: Transfer RNA (tRNA) molecules are approximately 80 nucleotides in length. Their secondary structure includes four short double-helical elements and three loops (D, anti-codon, and T loops). Lineage: Bacteria; Bacillati; Chloroflexota. The record is from RNAcentral.